GGGAAAAUCUCAUUAAGGGUAUAUGGUGGAUGCCUUGACUCAAGAAGACGAUGAAGGACGUAGCAGCCUGCGAUAAGCCUCGGUUAGGUGGCAAGCAACCUUUGAUCCGAGGAUGUCCGAAUGGGGAAACCUAUUCUGAUUAAUAUCAGAAUGUCCGCUAGCUGAAUAUAUAGGCUAGUGAGACGACUACCCGGCGAACUGAAACAUCUUAGUAGCCGGAGGAAAAGAAAUAAAUACAGCGCUGACUUACGUUGACUUUAUGCUGACCAACGUGGAAGAAAUUCCGUGUGAGUUCGCUUUAGUCCGCGUGAGUCUGCGUUAAAUUCCCUAAGUAGUGGCGAGCGAAAGGGGAACAGUCUAAACCUUUUAAACCGCGUCCCUCACCGCUUUGCGGCGGGGGACUGAAGGAUCUGGGUCCAUAUGUUUAAGAGGUGUUGCAAGAUAGUUGUUUUCACUUCCCGGAAAAGUGAGGCAGAGGUAAAACAAAAAUAAUUUUCUAGUUGAAGCGAGCUGGAAAGCUCUGCCAGAGCGGGUGAUAGCCCCGUAAACGUAAGCAAUUAUUACUCUGCGAUAACUAAUCUUAAGUACUGCGGGACUCGUGAAAUCCCGUACGAAGCCGGGUCGACUAUGACCCAAGACUAAAUACUUCUUGAGAUCGAUAGUGAACAAGUACCGUGAGGGAAAGGUGAAAAGCAUCCCGUUAAGGGAGAUGAAAUAGUAUCUGAAACCAUAUACUUACAAGGAAUCGGAGCCGCGCUAUGCGCGGUGACGGUGUGCCUAUUGAGGAAUGAGCCAACGAGUUUGCUGUAUGUGGCUUACAUAAUCCGCUAAUGCGGAGUAUGUGUAGUGAAAGCGAGGGUUAAUAGCCCGUCAGUGCUUCGCUGUCGCUCAGCACGAGUUAACUUUAAAGUUUAUAAAGUUUAUAAAGUUAUAAAGUAAAGCAAAUAAAUACUUUUAACUUUCAACUUUCAACUUUUAACUUUUUAACUCGCGAAGCGAUGGCGGAGCGCCAAGUCGCAUAUACAAGACCCGAAGCCGUGUGAUCUAGCCAUGAUCAGGUUGAACCUUCGAGAAAUCUAAGGGAAGGACCGAACCCACUAGUUGUGCAAAACUAGGGGAGGAAUUGUGGUUAGAGGUGAAAUUCCAAUCGAACUCGGCAAUAGCUGGUUCUCCUCGAAAUAGCUUUUGGGCUAGCCUCGAGUGUUUCUUUCAGGGGGUAGAGCACUGAAUGAGGACAGGUCGCAAGAUACUGUCCUUAACCAAACUCCGAAUACCUGGAAAUUAAGCUCGGGAGUCAGACUAUGGGCGCUAAGGUUCAUUAGUCUAAAGGGAAACAGCCCUGAUCACAAUCUAAGGUCCCUAAAUAUAUGCUAAGUGUAAAAGGUGGUGUCGCGACCGCGACAACUAGGAGGUUGGCUUAGAAGCAGCCAUCCUUUAAAGAAAGCGUAAUAGCUCACUAGUCCAGUUGCCGCGCGCCGAAAAUAUAUCGGGGCUAAGCAUAUUACCGAAGAUGUGGGUUUUUUCGCCUACGGGCGAAAGAGCGGUAGAGGAGCAUUCUAAAUUCGCUGAAGCUUAAAUGUGAAUUUGAGUUAAGAAUUUAGAAGAGAGAAUGUUGGCAUGAGUAGCAAAAAGGCAGGUUAAAACCCUGCCCACCGAAAACUUAAGGUUUCCUGGGCAACGCAAAUCGACCCAGGGUUAGUCGGUCCUAAGACAAGGCCUGUGUAGUGCGGGCGUAGCCGAUGGACGAGCUGGUUAAUAUUCCAGCACUGCUGUAAUCUCCGAUGGGAGGACGCGGUUUAAAAGUUUGAGCGUUUUUAAUGGUAUGAACGUUAAUGGCGCAAGAAAUAGGUCUAGGCAAAUCCGGACCGAUAUUUUUGAGCGUUGUUAAAAGACAAAGCCUUUGGCAGAGUCAAUUCAAGUGGAUAAACCGCCCAGAAAAAUCUCUAGGUCGCCGUAAGGCGAAAAGAUUAUGGCAACCGUACCGUAAACCGACGCAGGUAAGUGAGGCGAGAAGCCUAAGGUGUACGAGAGAACCUUCGUUAAGGAACUCGGCAAAAUAGCGGUCGUAAGUUCGCAAUAAGACCUUCCCCCACCACUUUUAACAUAAACAAAAUAAAAGCGUUUGUGAUAAAAGUGGUGGGGGACGCAGCUAAAGAAUUCAAGUGACUGUUUAACAAAAACACAGCUCCCUGCUAACUCGAAAGAGGAUGUAUAGGGGGUGAUGCCUGGCCAGUGUCCGAACGUUAAGGGGAGAGGUCAGCCGUGCUAUGCAUGGUGAAGCUUUGAUCCUAAGCGCGGAUGAACGCCGGCCGUAACUAUAACGGUCCUAAGGUUGUGUGGUUAAUUUAUUGACCAUGCAAGGACUAGGACUGUUAUAGAAAAGUUCGCUGCCUGGCUAUAAUGAAAAUUAUAGUUGUCCAUAAACAUCUGACUAUAUGCUGGAAACUCUGUGGGUAAAACCCCGUAGUAUCAAGCGCUACUUCAUGAUAUAAUGACAAUAAAUAAUUAUUCCUUGUCUAAAUUAUGUCAAUAAGUAAAAAUGCGACUUGUGCAGACAAUCAGCAGGAAAGAUUAAUAAUGAUCGGCUGGAUAAUCGGUUUUGUAGAUGGUGAAGGUUGUUUUUCAAUUAAUUUUGUAAAACAGCCUGAGAGAAAAGACAAAACAAGAAUACGUAGAGGAUAUAAAACUGGUUAUCAAAUAUCCCAUGAAUUUGCGGUAGUUCAAGGAAAAAAGAGCAUUUCAACUUUAAAUAAGCUUCAAAAGUUUUUUAAAGUCGGAGGAAUAUAUAUAAAUCGUCGGCAUGAUAAUCAUAAAGAGCAUUUAUAUAGAUAUUCCGUUGCCAAAAGAGAGGAUUUAAUAAAUAUAAUUAUUCCUUUCUUCCAAAAACGUAAACUGCAAACUUCUAAAAAGUAUGAUUUUUCUUUAUUCGUUAAGUGUAUGAAGUUGAUAAAAGAAGGGAAACAUUUAACGAGAAGCGGCGCUAUAGAAAUAGCGUUACUUUGUGAGAAGAUGAAUCAUAAACGAUCCAGAACCGAACUUAUUAAAAUCCUCAGAAACCAAACGUCAGACUCCGCUAGGGCGCGGAGAAGAUAGAGUUCUAUCUGCAUAGCGAUAUGCAGCCACGAAAGUGGGCUUAAUGGCUAAUAUUAAGCAAAGAGAUUAGCGAAAUUCCUUGUCGGGUAAGUUCCGACCUGCACGAAUGGCAUAACAACUUGAAUACUGUCUCAACGAAGGACUCGGUGAAAUUGCAAGACGAGUAAAGAUGCUCGUUAACCAUAGUUGGACGAAAAGACCCCGUGAAGCUUUACUAUAGCUUGAUAUUGAAUUAGGGGUACGCAUGUUCAGUAUAGGUGGGAGUCGGCCGCAAGGCAGACGUCAGUGAGAUACCACCCUUGUGUGCUUUUAAAUCUAACCCUUGUCCGUGAAUCCGGACUGGGGACAGUAUCUGGUGGGUAGUUUGUCUGGGGCGGAUGCCUCCCAAAGAGUAACGGAGGCGUUUACAAAGGUUGGCUAUCCCGGGAUGGAAAUCCGGGAGAUAGUGUAAAGGCACAAGCCAGCUUUACUGCAAGACCAGCAAGUCGAGCAGUCGCGAAAGCGGAACUUAGUGAUCCGACCGUACGAAAUAGGACGGCGGAAGCUCAUCGGAUAAAAGCUACUCCGGGGAUAACAGGCUAGUCUUGCCCAAGCGUCCACAGCGACGGCAAGGUUCGGCACCUCGAUGUCGGCUCGUCGCAUCCUGGGGGUGGAGAAGCUCCCAAGGGUUGGGCUGUUCGCCCAUUAAAGCGGCACGCGAGCUGGGUUCAGACCGUCGUAAGACAGGUUGGUCUCCUAUCUACUAUGGUCGCGGAAACUUGAGAAGGACAUUCUUCAGUACGAGAGGACCGAGAAUGACGAAGCUCUAGUGUACCAACUGUCCCACCAGGGGCAUCGCUGGGUAGCUACCUUCGGUUAGGAUAAACGCUGAAAGCAUCUAAGCGUGAAGCCGUCUUCAAGAUUAGGUUUCAUAGGUUGGUCAGAGAAUAUGACCUUGAUAGGCUCUAGGUGUAAGGCCCGCAAGGGUUUGAGCCAAGGAGUACUAAUAAACCAUUUGAUUUUCCCAC
RNAcentral lists this ribosomal RNA (4100 nucleotides) under Patescibacteria group bacterium. RNAcentral describes it as "23S ribosomal RNA". It matches the Rfam family "Bacterial large subunit ribosomal RNA". The record is from RNAcentral.